GUGUACGCUGGCGGUAGGCCUAACACAUGCCAGUCGCACGGCAGCACAGUAAGAGCUUGCUCUUACGGGUGGCGAGUGGCGGACGGGUGAGGAAUACAUCGGAAUCUACUUUUUCGUGGGGGAUAACGUAGGGAAACUUACGCUAAUACCGCAUACGACCUACGGGUGAAAGCAGGGGAUCUUCGGACCUUGCGCGAUUGAAUGAGCCGAUGUCGGAUUAGCUAGUUGGCGGGGUAAAGGCCCACCAAGGCGACGAUCCGUAGCUGGUCUGAGAGGAUGAUCAGCCACACUGGAACUGAGACACGGUCCAGACUCCUACGGGAGGCAGCAGUGGGGAAUAUUGGACAAUGGGCGCAAGCCUGAUCCAGCCAUACCGCGUGGGUGAAGAAGGCCUUCGGGUUGUAAAGCCCUUUUGUUGGGAAAGAAAAGCAGCAGGUUAAUACCCCGCUGUUCUGACGGUACCCAAAGAAUAAGCACCGGCUAACUUCGUG
This 491-nucleotide ribosomal RNA is filed under the name uncultured bacterium. Its description in RNAcentral is "partial 16S ribosomal RNA". It matches the Rfam family "Bacterial small subunit ribosomal RNA", at positions 29 to 507 of the family's 1533-position model. The record is from RNAcentral.